Molecule: small nucleolar RNA, 71 nt
Filed under: Drosophila willistoni
Lineage: Eukaryota; Metazoa; Arthropoda; Insecta; Diptera; Drosophilidae
Description: snoRNA:GK26599
Rfam family: Small nucleolar RNA Me28S-U3344
About the family: Me28S-Um3344 is a member of the C/D class of snoRNA which contain the C (UGAUGA) and D (CUGA) box motifs. This family directs 2'-O-methylation of 28S U-3344.
Source: RNAcentral
AAUGAUGAAUACUAUAUGUAAUUCUUGAUAGGAAGAGUAUGAAACAUAAUGAGUACUACCAAAUCAGCUGA